UCCGACUUCACGUCGGCAGUAUCGCUAGAGUCCCCACCAUUACGUGCUGGCAACUAAGGACGGGGGUUGCGCUCGUUGCGGCACUUAAGCCAACACCUCACGGCACGAGCUGAGGACAGCCAUGCACCACCUGUCAGGGGCCCUUACGGACCCUACAUCUCUGUAGGUUUUCCCCUGAUGUCAAGCCCAGGUAAGGUUCUUCGCGUUGCCUCGAAUUAAGCCACAUGCUCCGCCGCUUGUGCGGGUCCCCGUCAAUUCCUUUGAGUUUCAGCCUUGCGGCCGUACUCCCCAGGCGGGGCACUUAAUGCGUUAGCGACGGCACCCAGGGGGUCGCUCCCCCAGGCACCUAGUGCCCAUCGUUUACGGCGUGGACUAC
Molecule: unclassified non-coding RNA, 376 nt
Filed under: uncultured Actinomycetes bacterium
Lineage: Bacteria; Bacillati; Actinomycetota; Actinomycetes
Description: uncultured actinobacterium contains 16S-23S intergenic spacer region
Source: RNAcentral